AUAUAAUAUAUAUCUUACUUAAUUAUUUAAUUAUUUAUUAUUUAUAAAACCUUCAAACCCUAACUGUUAUCCUCAAAUCAGCGCCGCAGCACCGCCUCUUUCCUAAUGAACUCUCUCUCUCUUUUUCUACUUUCCAUCUUCUUAGUUUGCCAUUUCUUCUUCUCCAUCCUUACGAAGCUGACGCUCUCUUCUUCUCCUUUCGAAUCGGCGCAUCUUGACUUUCUCCAUCCGAAGCUGCAGCUCUCCACUUAUCUAAUUUCCGAGAUGGAGCCUUCAACAGUACAAAAGUGGACAAUAUCUCAUAUCCUCAUGGUUCGCCGGAACGGUCGGAACGGCCGUUCCGGAACGGGAAUGGUGCCCUCCGUUCCGGAAUCCGUAACCAGAACGGUGUUUGCACGGUGACUCGUUGGAACGCUGAGAAAUCGGUGGGAUGGGCGAGACGGAGCCACAGAACGGCCCCGAUGCGGCCGGAACGACACCGGAACGGUGCCGGAACAGGGAAAAA
Molecule: non-coding RNA, 505 nt
Organism: Erythranthe guttata (spotted monkey flower)
Lineage: Eukaryota; Viridiplantae; Streptophyta; Magnoliopsida; Lamiales; Phrymaceae
Source: RefSeq, a predicted model, not a curated record